CUCUCGGCAACGGAUAUCUAGGCUCUCGCAUCGAUGAAGAACGUAGCGAAAUGCGAUACUUGGUGUGAAUUGCAGAAUCCCGCGAAUCAUCGAGUUUUUGAACGCAAGUUGCGCCCGAAGCCACUCGGCCGAGGGCACGUCUGCCUGGGUGUCACGCACCGUUGCC
This 166-nucleotide ribosomal RNA is filed under the name Lithocarpus sp. 1289. RNAcentral's name for it is "5.8S ribosomal RNA". It matches the Rfam family "5.8S ribosomal RNA". From Rfam's summary of the family: 5.8S ribosomal RNA (5.8S rRNA) is a component of the large subunit of the eukaryotic ribosome. It is transcribed by RNA polymerase I as part of the 45S precursor that also contains 18S and 28S rRNA. Functionally, it is thought that 5.8S rRNA may be involved in ribosome translocation. Lineage: Eukaryota; Viridiplantae; Streptophyta; Magnoliopsida; Fagales; Fagaceae. RNAcentral also lists the same sequence under 2 other names. The record is from RNAcentral.